Molecule: ribosomal RNA, 364 nt
Filed under: uncultured bacterium
Lineage: Bacteria
Description: partial 16S ribosomal RNA
Rfam family: Bacterial small subunit ribosomal RNA
Source: RNAcentral
CCUACGGGGGGCUGCAGUGAGGAAUAUUGGUCAAUGGCCGGAAGGCUGAACCAGCCAUGCCGCGUGAAGGUCAGUGCCCUAUGGGCGUUAAACUUCUUUUGUGCGGGAGCAAUAAUGGUCACGUGUGGCCAGACGAGAGUACCGUACGAAUAAGCAUCGGCUAACUCCGUGCCAGCAGCCGCGGUAAUACGGGGGAUGGAAGCGUUAUCCGGAUUCAUGGGGUUUAAAGGUUGCGUAGGCUGUGAGGUAAUGCAGCGUGUAAAUGCCCCCGCUCAACGGGGUGAAGUGCCAUUGAUACUGGCUAGCUGGAAUGCGGAUGCGGGGGGAGGAAUGUGUGGUGGAGCGGUGAAAUGCAUAGAUAUCA